GUGCUCUAUUCAGCAGCACAGAUACUAAAAUUGGAAUGAUGCAGAGAAGAUUAGCAUCCCCUGAGCAAGGAUGCCACACUUGUGAAAUGAAAUGCCCAAAUUUAUA
This is a small nuclear RNA of Sciurus vulgaris (Eurasian red squirrel), 106 nucleotides long. The record is from Ensembl. NCBI's taxonomy places the organism in Eukaryota, Metazoa, Chordata, Mammalia, Rodentia, Sciuridae.